UACGUAGGGUGCGAGCGUUGUCCGGAAUUAUUGGGCGUAAAGAGCUCGUAGGUGGUUCGUUAAGUCUGAUGUGAAAGCCCUGGGCUCAACCUGGGAAUGGCAUUGGAAACUGGCGACCUAGAGUGCGGUAGAGGGUAGUGGAAUUCCCGGUGUAGCAGUGAAAUGCGCAGAGAUCGGGAGGAACAUCCGUGGCGAAGGCGACUACCUGGACCAGCACUGACACUGAGGCACGAAAGCGUGGGGAGCAAACAGG
RNAcentral lists this ribosomal RNA (253 nucleotides) under uncultured bacterium. Its description in RNAcentral is "partial 16S ribosomal RNA". It matches the Rfam family "Bacterial small subunit ribosomal RNA", at positions 524 to 776 of the family's 1533-position model. The record is from RNAcentral.